RNAcentral lists this ribosomal RNA (1469 nucleotides) under uncultured bacterium. Its description in RNAcentral is "partial 16S ribosomal RNA". It matches the Rfam family "Bacterial small subunit ribosomal RNA". The record is from RNAcentral.
GGAUUUCCGAGCCUACGACUCACACCCCACUCAUCGCGAGCCCUGCCUUAUGCAGGUCCCUCCAAUUAGAUAGUUGGAUGUCGGGUAUCACAUGUGCGAUACGGGCUGUUCACAUUUGCGAUCUGGUCUUAAGUAAUCAUCUUCAUGGAAACCUCUGCUCAUCCAUGAUGAUGACAUACGUACCUAGAUUUAUCGACCAUCGAUGAGCCAACGGAUGAUUACGCCGACGUGUCGAGGGAUAAGGCUACUCUAGCCGAGCUAUCCUUAGCUGGGCUCAGAGGCAUGAUCACCCACUCUGCGACUGAUGACUCACCCCAGACUCCUACCGAAGGCAACUUCAUGCAAUAUAGUACCAUGCUGCAAACCCUGAUCCAACCAUGUCUCUUGAAUGAUCUACGCCUCACGGCUGAAAAUCUCUCUUACCCGGGAUGAUAAUGACAGGUCCAGGAGAAUAAGACUCCGGGUAUCUCCAUGCCACCACAUCCCCUCAUUCCUACGGAGCUAGCACUGUUCUCAAUCUCUAGUGGCCAAGCUCACCCGCUCGGCUAUUCAAGUCAGAGGUGAAAGUCCUGGGCUGACGGCGGAAUUUUCGUUUAACCUAGAUAGUUAAAUGCAUGAGCGCUGAGCGCAUUCCGAGUGUAGAUGUGAAAUUGGUAGAUAUUCGGUGAACACCAGUGGCGAAGGCGGCUUACUGGACUGGUAUUCACGCUGAGGUGCGAAAGCGUGCGGAGCAAACAGGAUUAGAUCCCGUGGUAGUCUACUCCGUAAACGAUGAUAGCUAGUUGUCUGGGCACAUGGUGUUUCGGUGGCGCAGCUAUCGCAUUAAGUUAUCCGCCUGAGGAGUACGGUCUCAAGAUUAAAACUCAAAGGAAUUGACGGGGGCCUGCACAAGCGGUGGAGCAUGUGGUUUAAUUCGAAGCAACGAUGCAGAACCUUACCAACGUGUGACAUACCUAUGGCGGAUCGUGGAGACACUUUCAUUCAGUUCGGCUGGAUAGGUGACAGGUGUUGCAUGGCUGUAGUCAGCUUGUGUCGUGAGAUGUUGGGUGAAGUCCCGCAACGAGCGCAACCUUAGCCUUUAGCUGCCAGCAUUUGGUUGGGUACUCUAAAGGAACGUCGGAUUAUAAGCCGGAGGAAGGUGGGGAUGAGGUCAAGUCCUCAUGGACCUUGCGUGUUGGUCGACACACGUGCUACAAUGGCGACUACAGUGGGCAGCCACCUCGCGAGAGGGAGCUAAUCUCCAAAAGUCGUCUCAGUUCGGAUUGUUCUCUGCAACUGGAGAGCGUGAAGGAGGAAUUGCUAGUAAUCCCGGAUCAGCAUGCCGCGGUGAAUAUGUUCCCAGGCGUUGUACACACCACCCGUCACACCAUGGGAGUUGGAUUCACUCGAAGGCGUUGAGCUACCCGUAAGGAGGCAGGCGACCAUCAGUGGGUUUAGCAAGCUGGGGUGAAGUCGCAACAACGUAACCC